GGAGGGGUGGCCGAGUGGUUUAAGGCAGCGGUCUUGAAAACCGCCGUGGGAGCAAUCUCACCGUGGGUUCGAAUCCCACCCCCUCCGCCA
RNAcentral lists this transfer RNA (90 nucleotides) under Rhodospirillum rubrum. RNAcentral describes it as "tRNA-Ser". It matches the Rfam family "tRNA". From Rfam's summary of the family: Transfer RNA (tRNA) molecules are approximately 80 nucleotides in length. Their secondary structure includes four short double-helical elements and three loops (D, anti-codon, and T loops). Further hydrogen bonds mediate the characteristic L-shaped molecular structure. tRNAs have two regions of fundamental functional importance: the anti-codon, which is responsible for specific mRNA codon recognition, and the 3' end, to which the tRNAs corresponding amino acid is attached (by aminoacyl-tRNA synthetases). tRNAs cope with the degeneracy of the genetic code in two manners: having more than one tRNA (with a specific anti-codon) for a particular amino acid; and 'wobble' base-pairing, i.e. permitting non-standard base-pairing at the 3rd anti-codon position. The record is from RNAcentral. Lineage: Bacteria; Pseudomonadati; Pseudomonadota; Alphaproteobacteria; Rhodospirillales; Rhodospirillaceae. RNAcentral also lists the same sequence under 2 other names.